This 106-nucleotide ribosomal RNA is filed under the name Trypanosoma theileri. Lineage: Eukaryota; Euglenozoa; Kinetoplastea; Trypanosomatida; Trypanosomatidae. The record is from RNAcentral.
GGGUACGACCAUACUUGGCCGAACGCGCCAUGCCCCGUCCGAUUUGUGAAGUUAAGCGGCCACAGGUCUCGUUAGUACGGCGGUCAGUGUUGGGGCGCCGUGCCCU